This is a non-coding RNA of Microcebus murinus (gray mouse lemur), 3003 nucleotides long. Lineage: Eukaryota; Metazoa; Chordata; Mammalia; Primates; Cheirogaleidae. The record is from RefSeq and is a predicted model, not a curated record.
UCCCUGGUCAAUGCUGCAUUCAACAAUUGGGGUUAAUGAUUAAGCAAAGUUAAGAGAAUUAAGCAUGGCUUUCUGCUUCCUAUUUUUUCCCCACCAUGCGCAGAGGUUAUCUAGGGCAACCGGUGAUAAGAGGCCAAACUCCGUCCACUCCCCGCAGACCUCCUCAUCUGCGAAACGCCACGUCAUCAGGCCACCCACCAAAACAACUUACGGCAGGCAGGAAGUAGAGGAGCGGUGAGCAGACGGCUGUGUUUCUCUUUUAGGGGCAGCGUCCUACCCACUACCAGUGCCUGGCCCGAGAGCGUAACCCCUGCACUGGCACGUCAGCCGGCGUGGCAGGGGUGGGGCGGCUCGGCACAGGUGUGUGUACCUGCCCUGCAUGGACAGAUAGCGAGAGACAGGGAGGGAACUUGGAGCUGACGCCCCCUCCUCCCUUGGGCAGACCUCGGGGAAGAACACGAAUGGGUCCCUGCCUCAAAUCUUGUUACGGACAAGGAUGAAGGGGAUGAAGAAGAUAAAAGUAAGAACUAGACUUUUCUAAACACUAUUCAGCCCUCCAGGAGCUUAGAAUCUCGACAGGAGUCGCACUUAUUCAACAGAAGUGGUAACUGGUGCAAAUGAGCCUUACACAAGAGGAAGGUCACACGGGGUUCAAGACAGCGCAGACAUUGACGUGGGAGGGGGUCAGGGAAGCGAGGUGGCGCCCUGAAGGGGCAGCAGAGCGUGGGGGCCGCUAAGAAGGCAGAGGGAAGCCGCUCAAUGACGCUGUUGUCACAGACCUCAUCUCUCCUACUCGACUGUAAACCCCGUGAAGCUAGAAACCAAAUGAGCGCGCUGUGGCCUCUCCUAUCGCAGCACGUGGGGUGAUUUGUUCACUAAGUAUUUGCCAACUAGAAUGUCCUAAGUGACAUGGAUAGAAAAAGUAUUUUUUCAGGUUUCACUGCAACGUGAAAGGCCCUUGAACUGCAGGAAGAAUAGAAUGUUAAUUCUGUUCCAUCCAACUAGGUAUGCUGCAAAAUUAGAGGCAAAUACUUCACCCCGUGGAGUCCAUAUGUAUAUGAUAUUACGGUGAUGCUGGUGAAUGUUCCACGUAGCUCUUGGCUGUCAUUUCACAGAAAGAAAAACAAAUAGAAAGAUCUCAGGACACAGAAGCAGUGCUGCAACACAGGGAUGCACGCCUUCCCGGUUCGCAGAGUGCUUGCCGCUGAUAACCUGACACCAUCCUAACAGACAUGUAAGCAAGACUCCUGGUGACCGGGAAGGGCAGUAUGGGAACACGACUGGAGUAAUCAAGCUGGCCUACAGCGCAGAAAUCUCCGGCGGAUUUUAUAUUCCAAAGGAAUCUUGAGGAUAAAACCGAAGAAAGUAUUUUUCUUUCUCUUAGGAAAGAGAGGGCAGAUCUUUCCUUAAUUUUUUAGUAUUGAUGCCUUAGGAACUAUUUCAUGUUAAAAAAAUGCUACCCCAUUUCAAAGAAUUGAAUAUUUACAAAUAUCUAAUAUUUACCUUUUCAAUUUUUAAUAAAGUGUUUAACCACCUGAUUGUAAAUGGCCAUCUAUUGAAGUUCUACUUUUGAUCCUACAAUUGGGGGUGAAAAUUCCCAUGGACAAGUCUCUUCGGGACAAGGGUAUAUGUAUUAUUACAGAGAUAUGAAAUCUUUCUCAAUAUUUGCCUCCUGCAUUAAUUCAACAAAUUUUUAUUACUAAAAACCUACUAUGUACAAGGUAUUUCCUUAAUUUCCCAGUCACUUAAAGAAGCACAGGUCUUUGUCUCUAGCCUUGGAGAGAAUUUUCAUGCAAUCCCUAAAACCACACCAAGGAAGACCAGGGAGAAGGCAGAGGCUGCUAGACAAAAGGACAAAGACCUCAAGAGUGAAGGGGGCAUGUUGAAUUUAGAUCUGAAGGGAGUCAGUCCAAAUCUGUCACUCUAGUUACGAAGAAAUGGAAGCAGAGAGAAGCUAAAGGAUUUAUCUAGAAUGCACUAAAUAGAGUGAGGAUGCACUAGCAGCAGAAGUUUUGGGGGGGUUUGCAAUGGCCCUGGAAACUGUAGUUGGAGAAGAACACUGACAUGCGCAAAAGAGGACUGGACAUGGAUUCAUCAGCAAACAGCCCGGCCUCUGUCUCUUCACUCUCGGAGCCCAACGGGUCCCUUCGGCGCUUCCCCAGGCUGGACGUGGAGACCUCCCUCGCAUAAGCCUUGGCACGUGUGGAUGCCAUGAGAUCUGCUGUGGCUUUUGCUCAUUUGGGGCACUUUGUCUCUAACUGACUGAAAUUGAUGAUUCCUCCUUGUUUAUAUCUAACACUCUCGCCUUCAUCAAAUGGCUAUCAGCAAACGCAGUUUUAAUCAGGACAUUCUCCAACUCACCAAACACACGCACACACAACUCUAAAGAUUUAUAUUGUCAACAAUAAAUUUCAACUUUCUUUGCUAGCCAUUCAAGAGCUCUGCAAUUUAGUCUCAAAUCCCAUGUCUGCCUUAUCAAAUUGACAUACCUAUGUGACUUUUAUUCUGUUCAGGACUAAAAAAGUGACCCCCUGCUGGUUCUAUUAGGCUGCUUUCUAUCUUUUCUUUUGUUCCAGACAUUUUGCCUACCUGCAUCACCUUUUCUCUUCUUACCAAUUUCUGUCAACAUUUUACCACUCUUGCAACCACAACGUGAGCACCAGCCUUCUUUACAGAACUUCUGUGAAUCCCUGUCCCCUUCUGAGCCGUUACCUGUGGUGCGUGUGACUAUGUUGCUUUAAAGCCACUGGCCACACUCUUUGGCGUAUUGGAAUUAUUUAGGGGCUCAUGCGGGAAACCUCCAAACUAUGAAUCAGGUCUAAUCACAAAAACUUACAUGCAGGAUAGGAUGUAGCUCCCCAAACAAAACUUUUUUGAAAGACUGAUUGAUUAAAUGAAUUAAAAUACUUGCCACUCUAUGUUCCCUUUCUCAGUUCUUUGUACACAGGUUAAAUAAAACUUCCACUGAGAUGUGAUCAUAGAGGGCUAAUAUAAGGCAUAUGG